GACGAACGCUGGCGGCGUGCUUAACACAUGCAAGUCGAGCGAGGGGCAUCCUUCGGGGUGUCACCUAGCGGCGAACGGGUGAGUAACACGUGGGCAACCUGCCCUCAGCUCUGGGAUAACCCUCGGAAACGGGAGCUAAUACCGGAUAUGGCCUCUUAGGACAUCCUUCGAGGUGGAAAGAAUUUCGGCUGAGGAUGGGCCCGCGGCCUAUCAGCUUGUUGGUGGGGUAAUGGCCACCAAGGCGACGACGGGUAGCCGGCCUGAGAGGGCGACCGGCCACACUGGGACUGAGACACGGCCCAGACUCCUACGGGAGGCAGCAGUGGGGAAUAUUGCGCAAUGGGCGAAAGCCUGACGCAGCGACGCCGCGUGAGGGACGAAGGCCUUCGG
RNAcentral lists this ribosomal RNA (390 nucleotides) under uncultured bacterium. Its description in RNAcentral is "bacterial SSU rRNA". It matches the Rfam family "Bacterial small subunit ribosomal RNA", at positions 28 to 421 of the family's 1533-position model. The record is from RNAcentral.